CCUCCCCAGGCGCAGCCAUCACCUUCGCCAGGACCUACCUGCUGAGCCCUGGUGCGGGGCGCCGGCCCAGUGUGCCGGCGGUGCUGGUGGUCCUGGCAGACGGCCCCUCCGGGGAUGAUGCCAUCACUGCAGCCAGGGACAUCAAGGCUGGGGGGGUUCAGCUGCUGGCGGUGGGCUUGGAGGGGGCAGACCGGGAGCAGCUCCGGCGCAUGGUCACCAGCGAGGACCCGCGGUACAUCUAUCAUGGUGGCAGUGCCCUGGAAGAGCUGGAGGGAGAGCUCACCAACGACCUCUGCACCAUCAUCUCCACCAGGCCGGAACUGGAACCGAAGCCAAAGCCCUGCACUGUGCAGUGCCCCAGGGGCGAGAAGGGAGACCGCGGUGAGGCAGGACUGCAAGGACGCAUAGGGCCACCGGGCCCCCCUGGCGAGCCGGGCCGCCAUGGGCUGCCUGGCUCUCCAGGACCCCCGGGACCACAGGGUCUGCCAGGAGAGAGCGCUGAGCGGCCAGGCAAGAAAGGCGACAGGGGGUUCCCUGGAGCUGAUGGGACACCAGGAAGCCCUGGCCGCCCUGGGAACCCUGGAUCACCUGGCCAGCCAGUGAGUGGGGGUGUCCCUUGGGUUUGUUGCUGCAUGGUGGGCUCUUCCCAUCGCCCUGCCUGCCCAGUCUGCUCCCUGAGCCAGUCUCUGCCUACCCUUUCCAUGUGCCAGGGCGUCUCCGUUGCUGGCAGGGUCACUACUGUCCUCUGUGUGUGUGUCCAGGCCAAGUGUACUGGGCAGGGACUGUCCAUCCCUGCCUUGGCUGGAGCCCAUAUCCCAUUCCAUCCCAUCCCAUCCCAUCCCAUCCCAUCCCAUCCCAUCCCAUCCCAUCCCAUCCCAUCCCAUCCCUGUUUCCCUGGCUGA
Molecule: long non-coding RNA, 902 nt
Filed under: Athene cunicularia (burrowing owl)
Lineage: Eukaryota; Metazoa; Chordata; Aves; Strigiformes; Strigidae
Description: lncRNA (ENSACUG00000005102.1)
Source: RNAcentral